Molecule: ribosomal RNA, 363 nt
Filed under: alpha proteobacterium BAL163.1
Lineage: Bacteria; Pseudomonadati; Pseudomonadota; Alphaproteobacteria
Description: bacterial SSU rRNA
Rfam family: Bacterial small subunit ribosomal RNA
Source: RNAcentral
ACGGGCACUUCGGUGCUAGUGGCAGACGGGUGAGUAACACGUGGGAACGUACCUUUCGGUUCGGAAUAAUUCAGGGAAACUUGGACUAAUACCGGCUACGCCCUUCGGGGGAAAGAUUUAUCGCCGAAAGAUCGGCCCGCGUCUGAUUAGCUAGUUGGUGAGGUAAAGGCUCACCAAGGCGACGAUCAGUAGCUGGUCUGAGAGGAUGAUCAGCCACAUUGGGACUGAGACACGGCCCAAACUCCUACGGGAGGCAGCAGUGGGGAAUAUUGGACAAUGGGCGAAAGCCUGAUCCAGCCAUGCCGCGUGAGUGAUGAAGGCCUUAGGGUUGUAAAGCUCUUUUGUCCGGGAAGAUAAUGACUG